RNAcentral lists this unclassified non-coding RNA (403 nucleotides) under soil metagenome. Its description in RNAcentral is "partial contains 5.8S ribosomal RNA, internal transcribed spacer 2, and large subunit ribosomal RNA". The stretch from base 1 to 121 matches the Rfam family "5.8S ribosomal RNA", at positions 35 to 154 of the family's 154-position model. The record is from RNAcentral.
GAUGAAGAACGUAGCAAAAUGCGAUACUUGGUGUGAAUUGCAGAAUCCCGUGAACCAUCGAGUUUUUGAACGCAAGUUGCGCCCGAAGCCUUUGGCCGAGGGCACGUCUGCCUGGGCGUCACGCAUCGCGUCGCCCCCCACAAUUCUCCGUAAAGGGAACGUGUGUUUUGGGGGCGGAUAUUGGUCUCCCGUGCUCAUGGCGUGGUUGGCCGAAAUAGGAGUCCUUUCGAUGGACGCACGAACUAGUGGUGGUCGUAAAAACCCUCGUCUUUUGUUUCAUGCUGUUGCUCGCAAGGUAAACUCUUUAAAAACCCCAAUGUGUCGUCUCUUGACGACGCUUCGACCGCGACCCCAGGUCAGGCGGGACUACCCGCUGAGUUUAAGCAUAUCAAUAAGCGGAGGA